This 22-nucleotide microRNA is filed under the name Flagellimonas flava. RNAcentral's name for it is "hvsa-miR-HSUR4-3p". Its record names the gene hvsa-miR-HSUR4-3p. The record is from miRBase by way of RNAcentral. Lineage: Bacteria; Pseudomonadati; Bacteroidota; Flavobacteriia; Flavobacteriales; Flavobacteriaceae.
UUUAUAGCAGUGGGCAACACGU